GACAGAGGGUGCAAACGUUGUUCGGAAUUACUGGGCGUAAAGCGCGUGUAGGCGGCCCUGCAAGUCGGAUGUGAAAUCCCACGGCUCAACCGUGGAAGUGCAUUCGAAACUGCAGGGCUAGAGUCCUGGAGAGGAAGGUGGAAUGCUUGGUGUAGAGGUGAAAUUCGUAGAUAUCAAGCGGAACACCGGUGGCGAAGGCGGCCUUCUGGACAGUGACUGACGCUGAGGAGCGAAAGCCAGGGGAGCAAACGGG
RNAcentral lists this ribosomal RNA (253 nucleotides) under uncultured bacterium. Its description in RNAcentral is "partial 16S ribosomal RNA". It matches the Rfam family "Bacterial small subunit ribosomal RNA", at positions 524 to 776 of the family's 1533-position model. The record is from RNAcentral.